AGAGUUUGAUCCUGGCUCAGGAUGAACGCUGGCGGCGUGCCUAACACAUGCAAGUCGAACGGACUUUUCAUGAAGCCUAGCGAUUGAAAAGUUAGUGGCGGACGGGUGAGUAACGCGUGGGUAACCUGCCUUGUACUGGGGGACAACAGUUGGAAACGACUGCUAAUACCGCAUAAGCGCACAGCUUCGCAUGAAGCAGUGUGAAAAACUCCGGUGGUACAAGAUGGACCCGNGUCUGAUUAGCUGGUUGGUGAGGUAACGGCCACCAAGGCGACGAUCAGUAGCCGGCCUGAGAGGGUGAACGGCCACAUUGGGACUGAGACACGGCCCAAAUCCUACGGAGGCA
Molecule: ribosomal RNA, 346 nt
Filed under: uncultured bacterium
Lineage: Bacteria
Description: bacterial SSU rRNA
Rfam family: Bacterial small subunit ribosomal RNA
Source: RNAcentral